GUCAACACGUAUCACGCUGUCCUCGCCGAUUUGUACAAGUACAGUUUCGUUGUCCACGCGACGCUGAUAGUCCAGCCCGCGCAUUUCGUAGUUUUACAUUCAAUAGUUUAGUUAGUGAUUAAGUUUGAGCCCACGCAGUUUAAUAAUUAAGUGUUUCUCUGUCCACGCAAAACGUUGUAUAACUCUGUGUACAGUUCUGACCACUCGUGUGUUCCCUGAACUCGCAAGUGACUAUUGUAAAUACUUUCGUGUCAAAUAUAAUUUAUUCGUGAUCGUUACGCAGGCGUGUUAUUUCUGACCAUUCUGACCACGCAAAAUACGCAACAAUUUGACUGUUAUAUCUUGUAAGAAAGCGUGAGUGCGAAGCACGUGUGCACGAGUCGAGUGAUCGAACAAGAAGAAGGAAAUCAAUCAUGGCGUCGAUCGUGCCGGUUCCGCGUGGAGAGGGAACCGCGUGAACAAAGUGGGCCCGAGAGGUGCUGCCGCUAUCGAUAACGACGCAUCGACAAAAUACUUUCGUUGCUAACUUCGUGUUCUGCGACAAUUUGGGGAAUUUCGCCAACACAUACUGAUACAUUUACAUUUAGAGUAUGUACUUUCGGGGAUACUUUUUAAUGCAAAAAUGUGCAGAGGAAAUAAUUUUUUAUUAUCCUGUGCGUAUACUUUUGACGUAUCAACCAGUUUAUUAGGGAAGAAUUCAUAUUUCGUUCUACAGUUAUCCUUUUCCACUUGCUAACGGCGAAGGAACACCCCGCAAGUAUGCGCGGGCACGCCGCACGUUUUCAAACCUUUGCGCAUUCGAAUUUUCACGCGGGCCGCUGACGUAUUCCUGUCCUUGGUGAAGUGAAAUACAAAAUAUCGAGUGAGUGAGAAAGGCAAUUUGGGCCCUGUCCACCCUUGAGGACAGCAAGGGCUGGAUCGUCAGAAAAACAGUGACCGUCACUAACAAUAAGUCAACAUCAUGAGUACCAAAGAAGUGAGUAAUAAAAAAACUACUGCAGGACGUGACCGGAGUACAUCACGAGACCCGUCAAGGUCUCCCCGACGAAAAAUCUUCGGGAAGGCGGACUCAAUCUCGGGACCGGAGCCGCUCCCGAAAUCCAUCGUCGGGACGGCGGAGUUCGUCACGGGACGUGUCAACGUCUCCCCGACGGGACCGGAGCCGGUCCCAAAAAUCUUCGGGAAUGCGGACUCCAUGUCGGGACCGGAGCCGGUCCCAAAAAUCUUCGGGAAUGCGGACUCCAUGUCGGGACCGGAGCCGCUCCCAAAAACCAUCUUCGGGACAGCGGAGUCCGUUACGGGAGCUGUCAAGGUCUCCCCGACGGGACCAGAGCCGGUCCCGUGGUACGUCGGAGAGGAGAACUCCUCCGCGUGACCGGAGCCGGCCAGCACUGAGUUCCGGCUCGUCUAAAUCUAAAUGCGACAAUUGCGAAUUUUUUAAAGAGCUCGUAGCUCAAUACAAAAAAGAGAUAAAGGAAUUAAAAAGAACCCACCGGGAGAAAUUGUAUGGAGGAAGAUCAAGGGCGGGAAGAGGAGGAAGAGGACGAGGAGGAAAAGGUGGAA
Osmia bicornis bicornis is the source of this 1563-nucleotide long non-coding RNA. RefSeq lists it as uncharacterized. The record is from RefSeq and is a predicted model, not a curated record. The transcript is spliced from 3 exons. NCBI's taxonomy places the organism in Eukaryota, Metazoa, Arthropoda, Insecta, Hymenoptera, Megachilidae.